This 245-nucleotide ribosomal RNA is filed under the name uncultured bacterium. RNAcentral describes it as "partial 16S ribosomal RNA". It matches the Rfam family "Bacterial small subunit ribosomal RNA", at positions 524 to 768 of the family's 1533-position model. The record is from RNAcentral.
UACGAGUGCCCCAAGCGUUAUCCGGAAUUACUGGGCGUAAAGCGUGUGUAGGCGGCGUGAUUAGUCUUUGGUCAAAGCUCCCGGCUUAACCGGGAAAAGGCCGAAGAAACGGUCACACUAGAGGGUGCGAAAGGUCUAUGGAACUCAUGGUGUAGGAGUGAAAUCCGUUGAUAUCAUGGGGAACACCGAAAGCGAAGGCAGUAGACUGGCGCAUUACUGACGCUGCAACACGAAAGCGUGGGGAU